Molecule: ribosomal RNA, 253 nt
Filed under: uncultured bacterium
Lineage: Bacteria
Description: partial 16S ribosomal RNA
Rfam family: Bacterial small subunit ribosomal RNA
Source: RNAcentral
UACGUAGGGGGCAAGCGUUGUCCGGAAUCAUUGGGCGUAAAGAGCGUGUAGGCGGCCCGAUAAGUCCGCUGUGAAAGUCCAGGGCUCAACCCUGGAAUGCCAGUGGAAACUGUCGGGCUGGAGUCCGGAAGAGGCGAGUGGAAUUCCUGGUGUAGCGGUGAAAUGCGCAGAUAUCAGGAGGAACACCAAUGGCGAAGGCAGCUCGCUGGGACGGUACUGACGCUGAGACGCGAAAGCAUGGGGAGCGAACAGG